RNAcentral lists this ribosomal RNA (253 nucleotides) under uncultured bacterium. RNAcentral describes it as "partial 16S ribosomal RNA". It matches the Rfam family "Bacterial small subunit ribosomal RNA", at positions 524 to 776 of the family's 1533-position model. The record is from RNAcentral.
UACGUAGGGUGCAAGCGUUAAUCGGAAUUACUGGGCGUAAAGCGUGCGCAGGCGGUUGUGCAAGACCGAUGUGAAAGCCCGGGGCUCAACUCCGGAACUGCCUUUAAGACUGCAUCGCUAGAAUUGUGGAGAGGUAAGUGGAAUUCCGAGUGUAGAGGUGAAAUUCGUAGAUAUUCGGAAGAACACCAGUGGCGAAGGCGGCAACCUGGGCCAAUACUGACGCUGAGGUGCGAAAGCGUGGGGAGCAAACAGG